UACGGAGGGUGCAAGCGUUAUCCGGAUUUACUGGGCUUAAAGGGUGCGUAGGCGGAUAGGUAAGUCCGUGGUGAAAUCCUGCAGCUUAACUGCAGAACUGCCGUGGAUACUAUCUAUCUUGAAUGUCGUGGAGGUUAGCAGAAUAUGUCAUGUAGCGGUGAAAUGCUUAGAUAUGACAUAGAAUACCCAUUGCGAAGGCAGCUAACUACGCGAUAAUUGACGCUGAUGCACGAAAGCGUGGGGAUCAAACAGG
Molecule: ribosomal RNA, 253 nt
Filed under: uncultured bacterium
Lineage: Bacteria
Description: partial 16S ribosomal RNA
Rfam family: Bacterial small subunit ribosomal RNA
Source: RNAcentral